CCUACUGGUGGCUGCAGUGAGGAAUAUUGGUCAAUGGACGAGAGUCUGAACCAGCCAAGUAGCGUGAAGGAUGACUGCCCUAUGGGUUGUAAACUUCUUUUAUAUGGGAAUAAAAUGUUCCACGUAUUGGAUUUUGUAUGUACCAUAUGAAUAAGGAUCGGCUAACUCCGUGCCAGCAGCCGCGGUAAUACGGAGGAUCCGAGCGUUAUCCGGAUUUAUUGGGUUUAAAGGGAGCGUAGGUGGAUUGUUAAGUCAGUUGUGAAAGUUUGCGGCUCAACCGUAAAAUUGCAUUUGAAACUGGCAGUCUGGAGUACAUGAGAGGUGGGGGGAAGUCGAGGUGUAGCGGUGAAAUGCUUAGAGAUCAGGAAGAACUCCGAUGGCGAAGGCAGCUCACUGGACUGUAACUGACACUGAGGAGCGAAAGUGUGGGUAGCAAACAGGAUUAGAUACCCUUGUAGUC
This 460-nucleotide ribosomal RNA is filed under the name uncultured bacterium. Its description in RNAcentral is "partial 16S ribosomal RNA". It matches the Rfam family "Bacterial small subunit ribosomal RNA", at positions 338 to 795 of the family's 1533-position model. The record is from RNAcentral.